This 497-nucleotide ribosomal RNA is filed under the name uncultured bacterium. RNAcentral describes it as "partial 16S ribosomal RNA". It matches the Rfam family "Bacterial small subunit ribosomal RNA", at positions 28 to 507 of the family's 1533-position model. The record is from RNAcentral.
GAUGAACGCUGGCGGCGUGCCUAAUACAUGCAAGUCGAGCGAACAGACGAGGAGCUUGCUCCUCUGACGUUAGCGGCGGACGGGUGAGUAACACGUGGAUAACCUACCUAUAAGACUGGGAUAACUUCGGGAAACCGGAGCUAAUACCGGAUAAUAUAUUGAACCGCAUUGUUCAAUAGUGAAAGACGGUUUUGCUGUCACUUAUAGAUGGAUCCGCGCCGCAUUAGCUAGUUGGUAAGGUAACCGCUUACCAAGGCAACGAUGAGUAGCCGACCUGAGAGGGGGAUCGGCCACACUGGAACUGAGACACGGUACAGACUCCGACGGGAGGCAGCAGUAGGGAAUCUUCCGCAAUGGGCGAAAGCCUGACGGAGCAACGCCGCGUGAGUGAUGAAGGUCUUCGGAUCGUAAAACUCUGUUAGUAGGGAAGAACAAAUGUGUAAGUAACUAUGCACGUCUGGACGGUACCUAAUCAGAAAGCCACGGCUAGCUACGUG